UACGAAGGGGGCUAGCGUUGCUCGGAAUUACUGGGCGUAAAGCGCACGUAGGCGGAUUGUUAAGUCGGGGGUGAAAUCCGGCAGCUUAACUGUCGCAGUGCCUUUGAUACUGUGGAGCUAGAGGGAGGUAGGGGUCUGUGGAACUUCCGGUGGAGCGGUGAAAUGCGUUGAUAUCGGAAGGAACGCCGGUGGCGAAAGCGACGGACUGGAUCUCUUCUGACGCUGAGGCGCGAAAGCCAGGGGAGCAAACGGG
This 253-nucleotide ribosomal RNA is filed under the name uncultured bacterium. Its description in RNAcentral is "partial 16S ribosomal RNA". It matches the Rfam family "Bacterial small subunit ribosomal RNA", at positions 524 to 776 of the family's 1533-position model. The record is from RNAcentral.